GUCCACGCCCUAAACGAUGUCAACUAGUUGUUCGGUGAGGAGACUCAUUGAGUAACGCAGCUAACGCGUGAAGUUGACCGCCUGGGGAGUACGGCCGCAAGGUUAAAACUCAAAGGAAUUGACGGGGACCCGCACAAGCGGUGGAUGAUGUGGAUUAAUUCGAUGCAACGCGAAAAACCUUACCUACCCUUGACAUGUCAGGAACCCUUGAGAGAUUGAGGAGUGCCCGAAAGGGAACCUGAACACAGGUGCUGCAUGGCUGUCGU
Molecule: ribosomal RNA, 266 nt
Filed under: uncultured bacterium
Lineage: Bacteria
Description: partial 16S ribosomal RNA
Rfam family: Bacterial small subunit ribosomal RNA
Source: RNAcentral